Cajanus cajan (pigeon pea) is the source of this 422-nucleotide non-coding RNA. NCBI's taxonomy places the organism in Eukaryota, Viridiplantae, Streptophyta, Magnoliopsida, Fabales, Fabaceae. The record is from RefSeq and is a predicted model, not a curated record.
AUUCUCUCAAGCUCUCAAUCUCAUCUCUCACGCACUCUUUCUCUCAAAACCUUUACUUCUCUUUUUCCCAUUUUUUUCACUUGCGGAACUCCUCCUGGUGGCUGUGGUGUUUAGGUGAUGAUGUUGGUGUGGGAAAUUAGCUGAAGAUCUCCUUCUCCAUUGGUCUCCUUCUGCUUCCAAUCUUCUUCCCAUUUCUUCUUCCUAGAGUUUAGAUUUUUAUACCAAGAGCAGGGAUAGGUGGUGUAUCUGUAGCUGGAAGGUGGAGCUGAAUCCUUUCGGAUGCUUUGUUUGUUUUCAGUCACUUGGUAUAGUGACUUUUGAUGAAAUGUUUGUAUUGUACGCCCUAACUCUAGUUGGAUUGGAACAUUCGUAUAUAUUUAUAUUCUAGAUCCUAUAUUUAUAUACUCGUUCUAUUCUACCUA